AACGCACAUUGCGCCCUUUGGUAUUCCAAAGGGCAUGCCUGUUCGAGCGUCAUUUGUACCCUCAAGCUUUGCUUGGUGUUGGGCGUCUUUUGUCUCUCCCUCUCUCUGGGGGAGACUCGCCUUAAAACGAUUGGCAGCCGACCUACUGGUUUUCGGAGCGCAGCACAAAUUUGCGCAUUCCAAGCCACAGGGCGGCAUCCAGCAAGCCUUUGUUGUCUACAACAAAUCCACAUUUUGACCUCGGAUCAGGUAGGGAUACCCGCUGAACUUAA
This 272-nucleotide unclassified non-coding RNA is filed under the name uncultured Pleosporales. RNAcentral describes it as "sequence contains 5.8S rRNA gene, ITS2, 28S rRNA gene". The stretch from base 1 to 52 matches the Rfam family "5.8S ribosomal RNA", at positions 103 to 154 of the family's 154-position model. Lineage: Eukaryota; Fungi; Ascomycota; Dothideomycetes; Pleosporales. The record is from RNAcentral.